Phyllopteryx taeniolatus (common seadragon) is the source of this 3363-nucleotide long non-coding RNA. RefSeq lists it as uncharacterized. Lineage: Eukaryota; Metazoa; Chordata; Actinopteri; Syngnathiformes; Syngnathidae. The record is from RefSeq and is a predicted model, not a curated record. The transcript has 3 exons.
CAAAAAAUACAAAUAAAACUAUAUUUUCAGAAAAUAAAUAUUUUCUCAAAAUAUUUUGAGAAGUUUGUCAUUUAAAAAAUUAGUAUUUUUUUAAAUAGAUGAUUAAGUGAAGUUGAUUCAGAUGAAAUUUGAAUAUACAGUAUCUGUUCCAUAGUGGAGCUGAGUACCUAAUGGACAGUGGUGGGAAUGACAAAUACUGUGUUACUGUACCCAAGUAGAUUUUUCAUGUAUCAGUACUUAUUUAUUUUUCUGACAACUUUUUACUUUUACGUAAAGCGAAACUAUGAGAACAGAUCGUUUUGUUAGCAAUAACGCCUGUGCCAACGCUAGCUAGCUCGUGGUUUGAACAAAUCAAAACUAGGGAAUUCCCUUGUUUCAAGUUAUUAAAAUGCGCUUUGUACAUAACUGAACGUUUUAAAAUAAUUUUUACUUGCAGAAUCUAUACAUUUCUACAGUAACUUAAGUACCAAAAUAAGUAGUUGAAGUAGUAGUAAUAUACAAAGUACAAAGGAACAGACUGAUAACAAACUACUGGUGAUGAAGAAAAUCAAAUAACAGCAUGGAUUAGUGUUGGUAUUAUUAUGAGUUCAGUCGAAUCAGUAGUUACCGGUCUUUUUUCUUCCUGUACCCAGGUAUGUGUACUUCUGAAGUGCAGCGUAUGAGUACUUUUUCCACCUCUGCUUAUGGAGUAUUUACUCGUAAAACCUUUUCUUCACCACACAAAUUCUUUGUGUGUGUGUGUGUGUGUGUGUGUGUUGGCCAGGGCAUUGAGAUUCAGGUCUUGCUCGUGGCCUCAGUCAAGUCCCGGUUGCCAUGCCGACGGGCCAGCGGUCUCCCAGGAUGAGUAACGAUGUGAUGUGGCCGCGCACUAACGUCCCAACAAAGACCUCAUUACUACCGCAGCACCUCAUAACGCGCCAUUGUUGUCGAGUGCUGCCCGAUAUUAACCUGCCUGCACUUUGGCUUCCUUCCCAGCGUGGAGGGCAGUUGUGUGUGUGUGUCUGUGUGUGUGUGUGUGUGUGUGUGCGUGCGUGCGUGUGUGUGACUCAUCCUUGUGGAAGUUGAUCCAAGAAUAACACAUCCCAAAACUUUGCACAAUGCAGUUUUUACUGAAUUGAAAUAAAUAAAUACAUAAAUAAAUAAUAAUAUAAAUAGUUUAUUUAUUUAUUUUUUUGUUGCAUUCUUAUUGUUUCAAAGUUGGAUUUCAGGUCAGUCUUAAGGUUUCAAGCCUGGUUUAGGGUUUCAAAGAGGGUUUUAAUCCAGGGUUAUUGUUCCAGUAGGGUUUGAAUUUAGGGCUUCAAAUGACGGUUACAGUUUCAAAGUAGGGUUUCAAAGGAGGGUUUCUAGCCAGGGUUAUUGUUUCAAAGUAGUGUUUCAAGAAAGAGUUAGAAGGUUUCAAACCAGGGUUAGGGUGUCAAAAUUGGGUUUCAAGCCAGGGUUUGGGUUUCAAACAAUGGUUAAUGUUUCAAAUGUAUUACUAACCAUAAACAGACAAGGCAGAGCAAGGUUGUAUGACUUGUGUUGCAAACUUCUUAUGUACAUUCCGUCAAUAUCUUUUUUUGUUGUUGUGCAAAUUGAUACUACUUGUUUGUUAUUUUUACAAAUUAUUAACCAAUCAAAACUGUUAAAAAUAGCGAUAGAGCAAAUCUCUCAACUAUAUUGAUUCAGAAAAGUCUCGUGACGACCUCUUCUUCAUUCCGCAGGAGCCUCGCAGCAUUGUGUCUCCUCAAGAUUGAAAGUCACAACAGGGAAGAAAUCCUCGAUGGACAAGAGCAAGUGAAAAUAGCUAGGUAAUGGUUUUGGAGAUGCGAGGAUUCCGUCAGACAGCGACAAUAUGUGACUUACUUCCAUCUUUGUUACGUGAGAUCAAACAUCUUCAUGCUACAGUGGACAUUCACCAGCCAAGUGUGAAGUGCUAGACACCACGGACUGCAGAUGAGGCGAGAGAUAAGACGCCAGCGUGAUCCAGACCUUCACCCCAGCCAUUGUCCCGCUUAUCUCUAAUGAAGCGCUAUUGCCCGCUAAUGAUGGGGAGGAGGAGAGGCAGGCAGGGGUCUCGUCACUGAUGGAGAGCAAAAGUGUAAUGUUUGGCUUUCGGCACAUAGAGAACGUGAUAAGCUCAUCAAUGUAAUUGCUGUUGCCGAGAAAUACAUUUAUGGAGGAUGAUAGCGCUGGUUCAUAUGAGACUACCGUUCAAAGGUCUGGGGUCACCCAGGCAAUUUCAUGUUUUCCAUGAAAGCACACUAUUGUGAUGAUAAAAGCCGCAAGUAACGUGUAUCCACCUGUUGCCAUUAUUAAAACAGACCAAAAGUCAUUUUAACAAUCUCUCACAUAAUUGAUGCCGUUGGUGUUUUUAUAGUAUAAUAAUUAAGACUGAUACGGCUUCUUUGGUCCGCAUCCUUCAUUUCCUAAAAAGAAGACAAACUAUUGAUGUUGCACUUUCCAAAAAAGAAGAGGUGCCAAAAUAUUCUUAUUUGUACAUGCAGUUGUCAUGUGCAUCCUCAGUUUCUUAAUAAGCUGCGUUGGAAGGCACUUGGAACAUGUAAACGUGUAGUUAUGUUUCAAAACAUGAUAUACAUGUUUUCAAAGGCUAUUCUUGAACAAUGUGCAUUGUUUUUUUUGUUCUUCACUUCUGUAAAAGUGGGUCACAACUAAGCGGCAAUAGGAAAACGCAGGUCCCAUGGUGACAAUAGUUGAGAACUAAUGCUUUAAAUGUCAAUAUUCGUCUGUGACAUUUGAUAGUUUAGUUUGAUAGAUUUUAGUUUAUACAAUAAAACAAACAUUUUAUUUUUACUCAAACAUAUGCCAGCAAAUAAGAAAAUCAGAGAAAUUGAUCAUUUUGGAGUGGUCUUGUAAUGUUUUUCUUGAUCUGAAUAUACACUAUUUUUCUGCCAUUUUUGUUUGAACAUUUGUAAAAAGUACUGAAACACUGAACAGGUGGAGAUGUGCAUUCAAAAGUGCACAGAAGGUCCAAUUAAGUCUACAUGUAUAAAGAUUAUAGUGCAUUUUAGGUUCAUUCUGAAAUUUCACUCAAAAGCUCCUUAUCCUGAAGUUUUUGUGAGUAGUUAAUAUCCCCUUUAAUUGCGUCUGAAUCCGUUGAAGCUGUUUGCGUUUAAACAUUUUCCCAUGUUUUGGGUGAUGUUAUUGUGGUCCAGUGAAACCAAGGUUGGACGUUUUGGCCAUAAUUUUAAAAGGUAUGUUUGCCGCAAACACAGCAUUGCUCAUCACCAAAAGAACACCAUACCUAGAGUGAACGAUGGUGGUGACAGCAUGAUAUUUUGGGGCUGUUUUUCUUCAGCUCAAACUGAGGCCUUAGUCAAGGUGGAGAGAAUUAUGAACAGUUCAAAAUAGCAGUCAGUGUUA